AAUCUGCCUGGUAGUGGGGGAUAACGUUCGGAAACGGACGCUAAUACCGCAUACUGUCCUACGGGAGAAAGCAGGGGACCUUCGGGCCUUGCGCUAUCAGAUGAGCCUAGGUCGGAUUAGCUAGUUGGUGAGGUAAUGGCUCACCAAGGCGACGAUCCGUAACUGGUCUGAGAGGAUGAUCAGUCACACUGGAACUGAGACACGGUCCAGACUCCUACGGGAGGCAGCNGUGGGGAAUAUUGGACAAUGGGCGAAAGCCUGAUCCAGCCAUGCCGCGUGUGUGAAGAAGGUCUUCGGAUUGUAAAGCA
This 308-nucleotide ribosomal RNA is filed under the name uncultured Pseudomonas sp. Its description in RNAcentral is "bacterial SSU rRNA". It matches the Rfam family "Bacterial small subunit ribosomal RNA", at positions 123 to 432 of the family's 1533-position model. The record is from RNAcentral. Lineage: Bacteria; Pseudomonadati; Pseudomonadota; Gammaproteobacteria; Pseudomonadales; Pseudomonadaceae.